This 441-nucleotide ribosomal RNA is filed under the name uncultured bacterium. Its description in RNAcentral is "bacterial SSU rRNA". It matches the Rfam family "Bacterial small subunit ribosomal RNA", at positions 958 to 1401 of the family's 1533-position model. The record is from RNAcentral.
AACGCGAAGAACCUUACCUGGCCUUGACAUCUACGGAACCUUGCAGAGAUGCAGGGGUGCCUUCGGGAACCGUAAGACAGGUGCUGCAUGGCUGUCGUCAGCUCGUGUCGUGAGAUGUUGGGUUAAGUCCCGCAACGAGCGCAACCCUUGUCCUUAGUUGCCAUCAUUCAGUUGGGCCCUCUAAGGGGACUGCCGGUGAUAAGCCGCGAGGAAGGUGGGGAUGACGUCAAGUCCUCAUGGCCCUUACGGGCUGGGCUACACACGUGCUACAAUGGCGGUGACAGUGGGACGCAAUGGGGGCAACCCUGCGCAAAUCUCAAAAAGCCGUCUCAGUUCGGAUUGUGCUCUGCAACUCGAGCACAUGAAGUUGGAAUCGCUAGUAAUCGCAGAUCAGCACGCUGCGGUGAAUACGUUCCCGGGCCUUGUACACACCGCUACAGU